RNAcentral lists this ribosomal RNA (253 nucleotides) under uncultured bacterium. RNAcentral's name for it is "partial 16S ribosomal RNA". It matches the Rfam family "Bacterial small subunit ribosomal RNA", at positions 524 to 776 of the family's 1533-position model. The record is from RNAcentral.
UACGAAGGGGGCUAGCGUUGCUCGGAAUCACUGGGCGUAAAGGGUGCGUAGGCGGGUCUUUAAGUCAGGGGGGAAAUCCUGGAGCUCAACUCCAGAACUGCCUUUGAUACUGAGGAUCUUGAGUUCGGAAGAGGGUCGUGGAAUUCCCAGUGUAGAGGUGAAAUUCGUAGAUAUUGGGAAGAACACCGGUGGCGAAGGCGGCGACCUGGUCCGAUACUGACGCUGAGGCGCGAAAGCGUGGGGAGCAAACAGG